UACGUAGGGGGCUAGCGUUGUCCGGAUUUAUUGGGCGUAAAGAGCGUGUAGGCGGCCAGAUAGGUCUGCUGUGAAAACUCGAGGCUCAACCUCGAGCUGUCGGCGGAAACCAUUUGGCUAGAGUCCGGAAGAGGAGAGUGGAAUUCCUGGUGUAGCGGUGAAAUGUGUUGAUAUCAGGAGGAACACCCAUGGCGAAGGCAGCAAACUGGUCAUCAACUGACGCUGAGGCGCGAAAGCGUGGGUAGCAAACAGG
This 253-nucleotide ribosomal RNA is filed under the name uncultured bacterium. RNAcentral's name for it is "partial 16S ribosomal RNA". It matches the Rfam family "Bacterial small subunit ribosomal RNA", at positions 524 to 776 of the family's 1533-position model. The record is from RNAcentral.